RNAcentral lists this non-coding RNA (23 nucleotides) under Arabidopsis thaliana (thale cress). The record is from RNAcentral. Lineage: Eukaryota; Viridiplantae; Streptophyta; Magnoliopsida; Brassicales; Brassicaceae.
AGCAAUCCGGAGACGAAAAUGCA